This 838-nucleotide ribosomal RNA is filed under the name Fusarium sp. RNAcentral describes it as "partial large subunit ribosomal RNA". It matches the Rfam family "Eukaryotic large subunit ribosomal RNA", at positions 86 to 954 of the family's 3401-position model. The record is from RNAcentral. Lineage: Eukaryota; Fungi; Ascomycota; Sordariomycetes; Hypocreales; Nectriaceae.
ACGGCGAGUGAAGCGGCAACAGCUCAAAUUUGAAAUCUGGCUCUCGGGCCCGAGUUGUAAUUUGUAGAGGAUGCUUUUGAUGCGGUGCCUUCCGAGUUCCCUGGAACGGGACGCCAUAGAGGGUGAGAGCCCCGUCUGGUUGGAUGCCAAAUCUCUGUAAAGCUCCUUCGACGAGUCGAGUAGUUUGGGAAUGCUGCUCUAAAUGGGAGGUAUAUGUCUUCUAAAGCUAAAUACCGGCCAGAGACCGAUAGCGCACAAGUAGAGUGAUCGAAAGAUGAAAAGCACUUUGAAAAGAGAGUUAAAAAGUACGUGAAAUUGUUGAAAGGGAAGCGUUUAUGACCAGACUUGGGCUUGGUUAAUCAUCUGGGGUUCUCCCCAGUGCACUUUUCCAGUCCAGGCCAGCAUCAGUUUUCGCCGGGGGAUAAAGGCUUCGGGAAUGUGGCUCUCUCCGGGGAGUGUUAUAGCCCGUUGCGUAAUACCCUGGCGGGGACUGAGGUUCGCGCAUCUGCAAGGAUGCUGGCGUAAUGGUCAUCAACGACCCGUCUUGAAACACGGACCAAGGAGUCGUCUUCGUAUGCGAGUGUUCGGGUGUCAAACCCCUACGCGUAAUGAAAGUGAACGCAGGUGAGAGCUUCGGCGCAUCAUCGACCGAUCCUGAUGUUCUCGGAUGGAUUUGAGUAAGAGCAUACGGGGCCGGACCCGAAAGAAGGUGAACUAUGCCUGUGUAGGGUGAAGCCAGAGGAAACUCUGGUGGAGGCUCGCAGCGGUUCUGACGUGCAAAUCGAUCGUCAAACAUGGGCAUGGGGGCGAAAGACUAAUCGAACCUUCUAGUAGCUGG